This 444-nucleotide long non-coding RNA is filed under the name Coffea arabica (coffee). RNAcentral describes it as "long non-coding RNA (CARA_LNC001370)". Lineage: Eukaryota; Viridiplantae; Streptophyta; Magnoliopsida; Gentianales; Rubiaceae. The record is from RNAcentral.
GGAAUUUCCACUUUACGUUUUUGCUAUGUUUGUUCCAAUAUGAAAUCAUCAGAAAACUUGUAGACCAAAAUAAGUUCAUUAAACUGAAAUAUAGCUAGGUAAAAAUCAAAGUUUCAUGCAAUUAAUUGUGCUGUUUGACUAUUAGUUGCUGUUUAGUUUGAGCCUCAAAGACUAGGUAAAGGGGUUGUUGCUAAAUCAGUAUAUUUUUUUUUUGCCAGAUAUCAUGCAAAAAGUCCAGCCUAAAUGGAUGUGUAAUCAACUACAAUCGCUGAUGUAUUCUAACCGACCAUAUAAUAAAUGUAAUGUUCAGCUGCUUAUCUUUUAAGGUAAACAAUUAAGUUCAAAGUUACAAAGCAUUAGCAUAUUAACAAACAUUUUGUUGCUUUUGUACUCCAUUAAAUGCCUGCUGAUUGGACAUUCCCAUGUGAGAGAGGCUUGUAUCUG